UUGUUGGUAAGGUAAAAGCUUACCAAGGCUUCGAUCAGUAGCUGGUCUGAGAGGACGACCAGCCACACUGGGACUGAGACACGGCCCAGACUCCUACGGGAGGCAGCAGUGGGGAAUUUUGGACAAUGGGGGCAACCCUGAUCCAGCCAUGCCGCGUGAGUGAAGAAGGCCUUCGGGUUGUAAAGCUCUUUCAGCCGGAACGAAACGGUUACGGAUAAUACCCGUGACUACUGACGGUACCGGAAGAAAAAGCACCGGCUAACUACGUGCCAGCAGCCGCGGUAAUACGUAGGGUGCGAGCGUUAAUCGGAAUUACUGGGCGUAAAGCGUGCGCAGGUGGUUUUGUAAGUCAGAUGUGAAAGCCCCGGGCUCAACCUGGGAACUGCGUUUGAAACUACAAGACUAGAGUGUGGCAGAGGGGGGUGGAAUUCCGCGUGUAGCAGUGAAAUGCGUAGAGAUGUGGAGGAACACCGAUGGCGAAGGCAGCCCCCUGGGUCAACACUGACGCUCAGGCACGAAAGCAUGGGGAGCAAACAGGAUUAGAUACCCUGGUAGUCCAUGCCCUAAACGAUGUCAACUAGUUGUCGGGCCUUUACGGGCUUGGUAACGUAGCUAACGCGUGAAGUUGACCGCCUGGGGAGUACGAUCGCAAGAUUAAAACUCAAAUGAAUUGACGGGGACCCGCACAAGCGGUGGAUUAUGUGGAUUAAUUCGAUGCAACGCGAAAAACCUUACCUACCCUUGACAUGUAUCGAAGCCCGCAGAAAAGCGGGGGUGCCCGAAAGGGAACGAUAACACAGGUGCUGCAUGGCUGUCGUCAGCUCGUGCCGUGAGAUGUUGGGUUAAGUCCCGCAACGAGCGCAACCCUUGUCAUUAAUUGCCAUCAUUUAGUUGGGCACUUUAAUGAGACUGCCGG
This 916-nucleotide ribosomal RNA is filed under the name uncultured bacterium. RNAcentral describes it as "bacterial SSU rRNA". It matches the Rfam family "Bacterial small subunit ribosomal RNA", at positions 246 to 1155 of the family's 1533-position model. The record is from RNAcentral.